UCAUCUCAUACUCCAAGCCUUCUGUGAUGGUAGAGAAACUCCUUUUGUACUCCUCAGAGUCCCUUGGUGGUUGGGAGGGUCCCCGGAACAGUAAAUCUGUCAAGGGUGCGUCCCAUUAUUACGUCAUCCCUGAGGCCUAAGAGGCCUCAUUCUGGGAGGCUCAGGAAGUCUUUCAUCUCCAUAAAGGAUCCCACUGCCGUCCACACUAACUCCUGCUAAAAGAGAGUGAAGGCCCUUCUCUGCUUCCAACGCCCCCAAGGCUGCCCUCAUCUUCCCUUCAAGACUUACAUGCGUGUUCCUCGAGAAUCCUUCCACUGAAGGAACAUCGUUUCAAUCCUAGCUACCGGUUUUCCUGUUUGCUUUCCUCCAGGCAUGAAAGAUCACUGAUGACUGAAGAUGAGACACCUGAGGGCAGACUUGAAGCAUGCCAGGGGAUGCCUCCUUGCUGUGGUCUUGACCACCUAUGACCCUUCAUGGAUGGUGGAAGUUGCCUACCAUGGUUAUGGGGAUGCAAGCCUGGUAGCGCUUUUGCCUUUCCCUCAUCCAUUCCACAGCUAUUAAUUGGAAUUCUUUUCGUUCUGCUUCUGGCUAAACCGUUCUUGAUAACUGAAGUAUAUCAACCCAGAACAUGGUUUUGUGCUUAAAAACCUCACUCCGAGAAAGACUCAGGACUACACUGGGAUCCCGAGAAGCCAGUAUAUACUCGCUGCCUAAUGACUUCCUAUUGGCUUAAAGCUGUAUCUGAGUAGUCUUCUCUGGUCAAUGCCCCACAUCAUUUCCUUUACUCUCACAGCUCAGCCUUUGCCUACUGACCACUCUCCUUGUUGACAAAAAGCCUUCCAAUGUUUAGCUCUCUACAAACAAACAUAUUUGGGGGGCAUCAGCUCCUUUUAGUUAUUUUGCAUUGCUGUGACUAAAAUAAAUAAGAGAACAACUUUAAAAA
Molecule: non-coding RNA, 943 nt
Organism: Rattus norvegicus (Norway rat)
Lineage: Eukaryota; Metazoa; Chordata; Mammalia; Rodentia; Muridae
Source: RefSeq, a predicted model, not a curated record